RNAcentral lists this long non-coding RNA (333 nucleotides) under Setaria italica (foxtail millet). RNAcentral describes it as "long non-coding RNA (SITA_LNC004152)". Lineage: Eukaryota; Viridiplantae; Streptophyta; Magnoliopsida; Poales; Poaceae. The record is from RNAcentral.
GUGGAACUCAUGCAGUCGCAAUGACACUCCCCGCUUACAGUUGGACUUCCCUACCAUACACCCAGCUGAAAGGCAUCGUUCCAGCUUUCUUGGCUCUGCUCUGGGCCCUCUCGUCCAGCCUCCUGAUCCUUGGAGCAAGGGUGCAAAGGUAGUCCUGCGCCUUGUUACCCUCACCGGACAGGCCACUAAGGUCUGCCACCUUCCACCUGUUGACAAGGAACUCAAGGAUGUCGGCAUAGUCCCUGGCGGUGUACACGCCAAGCCUCUGUGCGACCAUGGAGAAGUGCUCAAACAGCUUGUCGUCCUCCCCGUCGAACAUCAGGUGGGCAGGCA